UGGGGAAUAUUGGACAAUGGGCGCAAGCCUGAUCCAGCCAUGCCGCGUGAGUGAUGAAGGCCUUAGGGUUGUAAAGCUCUUUCGUCAGGGAAGAUAAUGACGGUACCUGAAGAAGAAGCCCCGGCUAACUUCGUGCCAGCAGCCGCGGUAAUACGAAGGGGGCUAGCGUUGCUCGGAAUCACUGGGCGUAAAGCGCACGUAGGCGGCUUUCUAAGUCAGGGGUGAAAUCCUGGAGCUCAACUCCAGAACUGCCUUUGAUACUGGAAAGCUUGAGUUCGAGAGAGGUGAGUGGAACUGCGAGUGUAGAGGUGAAAUUCGUAGAUAUUCGCAAGAACACCAGUGGCGAAGGCGGCUCACUGGCUCGAUACUGACGCUGAGGUGCGAAAGCGUGGGGAGCAAAC
This 401-nucleotide ribosomal RNA is filed under the name uncultured bacterium. RNAcentral's name for it is "bacterial SSU rRNA". It matches the Rfam family "Bacterial small subunit ribosomal RNA", at positions 355 to 773 of the family's 1533-position model. The record is from RNAcentral.